Molecule: transfer RNA, 72 nt
Filed under: Phrynosoma platyrhinos (Desert horned lizard)
Lineage: Eukaryota; Metazoa; Chordata; Lepidosauria; Squamata; Phrynosomatidae
Description: tRNA-OTHER
Source: RNAcentral
GCCAAAGUGGUGUAGUGGUUUGAGCCCUGGACUACGACUCUGGAGACCAGGGUUCAAAUCCUCACUCAGCCA